UUCUAAUACAUUUUAAAGCGAAAAGGACAAUAACCGAUCUUUUUUACAAAACAAGAAUGAAAUUCCUGAAAUUAUUUGUCAUUAUUGGUUGCAUUGUUGCCGGUGUAGUGUCAGCCUCCGGGCAUAAUAUUAUAAGCGGCAAUGGAAACAAAAAUAAUCACCAAUCAAAUAUGGAUUUGGGUCUUGAUUUAAAAUUACCAAUAAUAUAAAUUUAUAUCUAAAUGGAAUUUAAAGUAUAUAACGAUAUUUCAUUUUAAUAUAGUGAACUUAAUUGAAAUUCUAAA
Long non-coding RNA from Lucilia sericata (common green bottle fly), 284 nucleotides. RefSeq lists it as uncharacterized. The transcript is spliced from 2 exons. NCBI's taxonomy places the organism in Eukaryota, Metazoa, Arthropoda, Insecta, Diptera, Calliphoridae. The record is from RefSeq and is a predicted model, not a curated record.